RNAcentral lists this ribosomal RNA (520 nucleotides) under Bellerochea malleus. RNAcentral describes it as "LSU rRNA". It matches the Rfam family "Eukaryotic large subunit ribosomal RNA", at positions 74 to 595 of the family's 3401-position model. Lineage: Eukaryota; Bacillariophyta; Thalassiosirophyceae; Lithodesmiales; Bellerocheaceae. RNAcentral also lists the same sequence under 1 other name. The record is from RNAcentral.
AUUCCCCUAGUAAGGGCGACUGAAGCGGGAUUAGCUCAUAUUGUGAAUCUGUGCCCUCGUGGCACCGAAUUGUGGUCUAUAGAAGCAUGUGUUUGGCACGCCGGGUCAAGUCCCUUGGAAAAGGGCAGCUGAGAGGGUGAGACUCCCGUUCAUGCCCGGGCUGUGGCCAUUUGACACUUGCUUUCGACGAGUCGAGUUGUUUGGGAUUGCAGCUCAAAGUCGGUGGUAAAUUCCAUCUAAAGCUAAAUAUUGGUGGGAGACCGAUAGUGUACAAGUACCGUGAGGGAAAGAUGCAAAGAACUUUGAAAAGAGAGUUAAAGAGUACCUGAAAUUGCUGAAAGGGAAGCGAAGGAAACCAGUGUUGUUGCCGAGUUAUACUUCUCCUCCCGCUCGCGGGUGGGGCGCUGUGGCUCGGCAGUGGUCACUCUUGGUUGGUCUCGGCAGAAACCCGUCGCGGGAGGUAGGUCCGUUCGCGGACUGAUACCAGCGGCUUGUGUGCCGGGAAUGACCGAGCGGUGAC